This is an RNA transcript of Acipenser ruthenus (sterlet), 1919 nucleotides long. It is a transcript of the gene named biorientation of chromosomes in cell division protein 1-like, with no coding region annotated. The record is from RefSeq and is a predicted model, not a curated record. The transcript is spliced from 4 exons. NCBI's taxonomy places the organism in Eukaryota, Metazoa, Chordata, Actinopteri, Acipenseriformes, Acipenseridae.
GAACUGUGAUCUGCUUUUACUGUACAGAUACGUCCAAGCCUAGUAAACUACAACUCCCAGGUUGCAUAGUGAGACUGUUUUCAUCGAUUUGUUUUUCAACCCCGGCCAAACCGGUGUGUUAGUUAUAGUCACGCGUACGUUAUAUUCUAAAUGGUCAUCAUUUACCUGUUUUAAAUUGACGAAUCGCGUAUAAUGGCCGAGGGCAGUGGUAAUGUAGUAAACCUUACGCCCGGAGACCCACAGGUCAUAGGCCUCAUUGUUGACCAUCUGAAGAGCCGUGGCCUGUUCGACGAGUUCCGCAGAGAUUGUCUAGCCGAUGUCGAUACAAAACCAGCCUAUCAGAAUCUCAGGCAAAAGGUUGAUAACUUUGUGUCCACGCACCUGGACAAUCAGGAGUGGAACCCGAACAUUAACAAGAACCAAGUGCGCAAUGGACUGAGGCAGAGUGUCAUCCAGUCAGGCAUGCUUGAGGCUGGAGUGGACAGAAUCAUUACUCAGGUGGUGGAUCCCAAACUUAAUCACAUUUUCAGGCCCCACAUAGAGAACGCCAUUCAUGAUUUCUUGGCUGCCGAGAAGAAGGAGGAGGCAGUGCCAGCUCCAAAUGCAGAGCCUGAGAAGCAGGAGCCGCUCCCCACCACUCCGAGUACACCAUGAGGUCAGGCACCUCCGCAUUUCAGAAGCGACACCAAAGAGGGUAGGGCUGUGUACGGCAGACUACUGAUGAUGCUGUAACAUAUUUAUGGAUUUGUAUCUUUUCUGCAGUUGUCAUUUCUGAUAACCCGAAACAAUAGCCGCUGUAUCAUAGACAGUCGUGUCUAUGCAGUUUAUGGAGAAGAGCAACUGGUGUAAAAGAUGCACUAAAAUUACCCAGAAAAAAUUCAAUCGCCUGUAAACUAAUGUUUGAUAUUGUUAAACAGGGUUUUGGUGACUGCUAAAACACUUAUGAUAGACAGUGAAAAAAGCACAGUACAUUUUUAAAGGUUAUUUUAUUACAGCUUAGAAAGCCUGUGCUAUCAAGCAUUUUUGCAGAUGUUUAAAGGGUUUACUCAGACUUUCUAACCCUAAUUUUUUGCUGCUACAUGGAAAAUUGCACUUAACUUUAAUACUGUCCCUCAAUUGGAAAAAUAUAAUACUGUAGCCAAAUAGUUUAUGCAGUGGCCUUAAAAUGUGUAAGAAUCUGGCCAGCUGUGUGUGUGUGUUUUUUUUUUUUUUUCCUUUGUUUUUUUAAUGCCUUUGGUGUUAUAGGAUUUUUUUGUUUUGUAGAAGUUCAGUUUGUAAAAUUUGAAUACAUCUAGGAAACAAAGAACAAUGUCGACAUUUUUGACCGACAUCACUGUUUGGGAUUUUGAAGCGUAAAACAGCAAUGGCAUGGACGUGAUGUAAAUAACACAUACACAUUUUGGACCAUAUGAUUCUCAUAAAAAUCAAAGUUUGCAUUUAAAAUCUAAUAUUUCAGCCUGUGUGCUAUUUGGUGGUUGUUGGGAUGUUUUGUAUUACAGAAGUGGAAGAAUCAUUCAGAUCUGGGGUGCAGCUGCCAGCAAACCCAUCCUGUGUGGUCCACAGAAAGCUCAAAGCUUCUCAUGUGUAGCAUGAGGGCCAUUUGAGGUCAUUACUGCAUGUCUGGUGCUCAGUUCUCAGUAUAGGCAAUGGGUUAAUCUGCUGUAAAGUGUUUUCUAUGACUUUAAAGCCUUGGUCAAUAUUGAUCACAACAAUGUAAAUUCUUAUGUACAUUAUUGUGAGAAAGAAACAAACUCCUUUUAUAGUAAAACAUUUAUUUCAAAGUAAUAAAUGUAAUGGUAAAUGAAACAGCUUCAUUGUUGCAUAUCUGGUACAAUUACCAAAAAACUGGUGUGUAGUAGGUUUGGAAAUUUUAAAUAAAAACAUGAGUACACUAGCUUGGAGUACUCAAAUACAGGCAG